This 114-nucleotide non-coding RNA is filed under the name Lachnospiraceae bacterium 10-1. RNAcentral describes it as "TPP riboswitch aptamer (THI element)". It matches the Rfam family "TPP riboswitch aptamer (THI element)". Rfam says of the family: Vitamin B(1) in its active form thiamin pyrophosphate (TPP) is an essential coenzyme that is synthesised by coupling of pyrimidine and thiazole moieties in bacteria. The previously detected thiamin-regulatory element, thi box was extended, resulting in a new, highly conserved RNA secondary structure, the THI element, which is widely distributed in eubacteria and also occurs in some archaea. Lineage: Bacteria; Bacillati; Bacillota; Clostridia; Lachnospirales; Lachnospiraceae. RNAcentral also lists the same sequence under 1 other name. The record is from Rfam by way of RNAcentral.
ACGAUUCGCUAGGGGAGCGCAAGCUGAGAUUGUGUGAAAGCCAGACAUCUUUUACACUAACCCUCAUUACUUGAACCGGAUAAUACCGGCGUAGGGAAGCAGAUUUUUAUAAAU